Long non-coding RNA from Clarias gariepinus (North African catfish), 347 nucleotides. RefSeq lists it as uncharacterized. The transcript is spliced from 3 exons. NCBI's taxonomy places the organism in Eukaryota, Metazoa, Chordata, Actinopteri, Siluriformes, Clariidae. The record is from RefSeq and is a predicted model, not a curated record.
GCCUGGAGCCUAUCCCAGGGGACUCGUGGCUUCCAACUCCAGCAGAUGACAUAGCAUUGGAUUCUGUGCCUUUCCACUCUUCCUCCAGACUCUGGGGCCUUGAUUUUCAAAUGAAAUGCAAACUUUGCUUUCAUGUGUUUGUGAGACGUGGCGGUGCAUUUCGGGUUUCAGUCGGCGUCCAGUGCUGUGACAGGGUUAUACAACCGUGUGAAAGACGGGGCUGUGCUGAUCUGUGCCUGGGCCGAGAUGGGUGCCGACGCCAUGGGUCCUGAUGGCACCAUAAUUCACGCUGAUGCCUUUCCUCCUGAGAAACUGGUGGACACGCUCGGAGCUGGAGACACCUUCAA